CGUGCAGGCGGUUUGGUAAGUUGGGCGUGAAAUCUCCCGGCUCAACUGGGUGAGGUCGUCCAAAACUACCAGACUAGAGAGCGAUAGAGGAAAAUGGAAUUCCCGGUGUAGUGGUGAAAUGCGUAGAUAUCGGGAGGAACACCAGUGGCGAAAGGCGAUUUUCUGGAUCGUUUCUGACGCUCAGACGCGAAAGCUAGGGUAGCAAACG
Molecule: ribosomal RNA, 208 nt
Filed under: uncultured bacterium
Lineage: Bacteria
Description: partial 16S ribosomal RNA
Rfam family: Bacterial small subunit ribosomal RNA
Source: RNAcentral